GUUGGGUGGUGCAAUCGGUUAGCGUGCGGUACUUAUAAUGCCGAGGUUGGGAAUUCAAGCCUCACCCGGAGCA
Molecule: transfer RNA, 73 nt
Filed under: Anguilla anguilla (European eel)
Lineage: Eukaryota; Metazoa; Chordata; Actinopteri; Anguilliformes; Anguillidae
Description: tRNA-Ile
Source: RNAcentral